AUAUCUCACUAGCCUCGAUCCCAGGCCGAGUUUUCGCUUUUAUAACGGUUAGGCGAACAACUGGGCCUGGUACUAGUUGUCUGCGCAUGCGUCAGUCGUUCGUCAGAUUCUGACGAAUGGAUAUUCUCGUUCACUUUCGUGACAUUUAUAUUCGUGUACUAUCGUGUACUAGAAGUCAGUUCCCGUUUUAUCAUUAUUGGAAUGGCUCUUAGCUGAAGCUUCUCUCUUCUCUGAAGCUUAGAAAACAUUAUUCUGAAGACUGAACAACAAGGGAAAAGGUAUAAAGCUUUGUCAAGCUUGUUAAGGUCAGAUAUUUUUGUGUGGGCCCUAUGCUAUCAUGUCAAGUCGUGUUCAUGUUUGGUAUUAAAAGAUCUAUAGUAUCAUCAUUAAUAUGGUGGAUCAAGUGAAGAGUGUGAGCUAGAGAACUUGGUGCUGCCAUCAUCAGCUCGUCGACAAUGACAGGAGCAAUGGAUACUAUCCAGCUAUCCCAACAUUGUUCCUCUUGGCCAUACUAACGGACAAGACUGGACAGUUUAAGGACUGGAGUAUGACCUGAUCGUUCGAGUGUUGCUGGGUAGCUCAGAGGCAUCAAGAGAAUCUACGUUUUCUCAAGCAAAGUUUAACUGAGUUACAAGUUGGGGCCUAGAAUCAGAGAAGUCCAGCAGCCUGCUAAAUCGUUGAAACGUAAUUUGAAGGCAUUCAAUCAUCUUGAAGUUGCCCUGGGUCACUGUAAUCAUGCUGCAGCACAACUGGCAACUCCCCAGGCCUUUGUGAAGCAGCUCCCUAUGUGCACCUUUUGUGUACUCACUCACUCUGUGCAUUUUCUGUGUACAAAUUUCGAUUAUUGAUUUAUUAAAUAUCUUUGCCGACCACAAAUACAAUGAAAAUUUGACGCAUGCGCAGACAACUAGUACCAGGCCCAGUUGUUCGCCUAACCGUUAUAAAAGCG
Halichondria panicea is the source of this 949-nucleotide long non-coding RNA. RefSeq lists it as uncharacterized. The record is from RefSeq and is a predicted model, not a curated record. NCBI's taxonomy places the organism in Eukaryota, Metazoa, Porifera, Demospongiae, Suberitida, Halichondriidae. The transcript has 3 exons.